UACAGAGGGUGCGAACGUUGCUCGGAAUUACUGGGCGUAAAGGGCGCGUAGGCGGGAUGGCAAGUCGGUCGUGAAAUCCCUCGGCUCAACCGAGGAACGUCGAUCGAUACUGCUGUUCUUGAGGAUUGCAGAGGAGACUGGAAUUCCCGGUGUAGCGGUGAAAUGUGUAGAGAUCGGGAGGAACACCGGUGGCGAAGGCGGGUCUCUGGGCAAUUCCUGACGCUGAGGCGCGAAAGCGUGGGGAGCAAACGGG
Molecule: ribosomal RNA, 253 nt
Filed under: uncultured bacterium
Lineage: Bacteria
Description: partial 16S ribosomal RNA
Rfam family: Bacterial small subunit ribosomal RNA
Source: RNAcentral